UACGUAGGUGGCGAGCGUUGUCCGGAUUUACUGGGCGUAAAGCGCGCGCAGGCGGCAGUCUAAGUCCUCUGUGAAAUCACCCGGCUCAACUGGGUGGCUGCGGAGGAGACUGGGCAGCUUGAGGGGCCUAGAGGCCGGUGGAACUCCCGGUGUAGUGGUGAAAUGCGUAGAGAUCGGGAAGAACACCAGUGGCGAAGGCGGCCGGCUGGGGGUGCCCUGACGCUGAGGCGCGAGAGCGUGGGGAGCGAACAGG
RNAcentral lists this ribosomal RNA (253 nucleotides) under uncultured bacterium. RNAcentral describes it as "partial 16S ribosomal RNA". It matches the Rfam family "Bacterial small subunit ribosomal RNA", at positions 524 to 776 of the family's 1533-position model. The record is from RNAcentral.